This 2856-nucleotide ribosomal RNA is filed under the name Sediminibacillus massiliensis. RNAcentral's name for it is "bacterial LSU rRNA". The stretch from base 1150 to 2856 matches the Rfam family "Bacterial large subunit ribosomal RNA". The record is from RNAcentral. Lineage: Bacteria; Bacillati; Bacillota; Bacilli; Caryophanales; Bacillaceae.
GGCCUUGUCUAUACUGGUUUAUAUAACUUCGAUUCAAAUGGAAAGGCGCAGCUGGCUGCGAAGGAGACAAACAUCCUUUUCGAAGAGUGGCUGACGACCUUAGCAAACCAAGGACAGCAAGUAUUGUUCCUCAGCCCGGAUAUCGAAUUGCAUCGAGACAAGAUUCUUGAAACGAUGGGGAAAUUGGCCAUCAUUCCUGAAUUGCCAUAUCAUUUUCCAAAACCGUCUUUAUUGGCUCUGGCAGGAGCGGAUAAGGAGACAGAGCCUGUACAUGCGUUGACACCGGAAUAUCUGCGGUUGGCAGAGGCAGAGUCAAAAUGGUUGGAAAAGCAAAGGGAGAAUUGAUAUGUCGGCCCCUGUAAUCAGACAAAUGAGGGUAGAGGAUAUCGAUCGGGUCAUGGCAGUAGAAGCUGCCAGCUUCGGAACCCCAUGGACAAAAGAUAUAUUCUAUAAAGAAAUACUUGAGAAUCCUUAUGCUAUUUAUUUCAUCAUGCAAGAAGGUAAACAAAUUGUUGGAUAUUGCGGACUAUGGGUUAUUUUUGAUGAAGCCCAAAUUACCAAUAUUGCCAUCCUGCCGCAGUGCAGAGGGAAGAAAUACGGGCAGACUUUGUUUCACUUUGUACUUAAUCAAGCUGUUGCCUUAGGAGCUGCCACAUUGUCAUUAGAGGUAAGAGUGUCCAAUAUAACGGCGCAGAAUAUGUAUAAAAAAUUCGGAUUAACUCCAGGUGGGAUCCGGCGUAACUAUUACACGGAUAAUGGAGAAGAUGCUUUAGUAAUGUGGGUGAAAUUAUGAAGAAUGAAGAUAAAUAUAUAUUGGGUAUUGAGACUAGCUGUGAUGAAACAGCGGCAGCAAUUGUUAAAAACGGUACAGAAAUAGUUGCAAAUGUAGUUGCAUCCCAAAUAGAAAGCCAUAAGCGUUUUGGUGGCGUCGUUCCGGAAAUAGCUUCGAGGCAUCAUGUUGAACAAAUAACGAUGGUGUUGGAAGAAACUUUUCAAAAGGCCGGCUUAACGAUUGAUGACAUGGAUGCAGUGACUGUUACAGAGGGUCCGGGCCUUGUCGGGGCAUUACUUAUCGGCGUAAAUACCGCAAAAGCUUUGGCCUUUGCUAAAAACAAACCAUUAGUAGGCGUCCAUCAUAUAGCAGGUCACAUUUAUGCCAAUCGCCUGUUUAAAGAAUUCACUUUCCCUUUACUUGCACUUGUCGUUUCCGGAGGGCAUACCGAAUUAAUCAUCAUGAAAGAACAUGGAUCAUACGAGGUAAUUGGCGAAACAAGAGAUGAUGCGGCUGGAGAGGCAUACGACAAAGUGGCACGAACAUUAAAACUGCCUUAUCCUGGUGGGCCGCAAAUCGAUAAGUUAUCGGCAGAAGGCGAGACCACUAUCGACUUUCCAAGGGCCUGGCUGGAGNGACGCAGGAGGAUAAGGAGAGCGCACGAUUGGAAAUGUGCGUCCAAGCAGUAAGAGAGUUGGAAUAGGCAAAUCCGUCCAACAAUCUCAAGCUGUUACGGGGAGGGAACAUAAGUACCGAAGCUCCGGAUUUCAUACUGCCAAGAAAAGCCUCUAGUGAGGAAAGAGGUGCCCGUACCGCAAACCGACACAGGUAGGCGAGGAGAGAAUCCUAAGGUGAGCGGGAGAACUCUCGUUAAGGAACUCGGCAAAAUGACCCCGUAACUUCGGGAGAAGGGGUGCUUCUUUUGCGAGAAGCCGCAGUGAAAAGGCCCAAGCGACUGUUUAGCAAAAACACAGGUCUCUGCGAAGCCGUAAGGCGAAGUAUAGGGGCUGACACCUGCCCGGUGCUGGAAGGUUAAGGGGACGCGUUAGCCGCAAGGCGAAGCGUUGAACCGAAGCCCCAGUAAACGGCGGCCGUAACUAUAACGGUCCUAAGGUAGCGAAAUUCCUUGUCGGGUAAGUUCCGACCCGCACGAAAGGUGCAACGACUUGGGCACUGUCUCAACGAGAGACCCGGUGAAAUUAUACUAUGCGUGAAGAUGCGCAUUACCCGCGACAGGACGGAAAGACCCCGUGGAGCUUUACUGUAGCCUGAUAUUGCAUGUUGGUACAGCUUGUACAGGAUAGGUGGGAGCCUUAGAAGCCGGAGCGCUAGCUUCGGUGGAGGCGUCGGUGGGAUACCACCCUGGCUGUACGGACAUUCUAACCCAGGACCGUGAUCCGGUCCGGAGACAGUGUCAGGUGGGCAGUUUGACUGGGGCGGUCGCCUCCUAAAGAGUAACGGAGGCGCCCAAAGGUUCCCUCAGAAUGGUUGGAAAUCAUUCGCAGAGUGUAAAGGCAGAAGGGAGCUUGACUGCGAGACCUACAAGUCGAGCAGGGACGAAAGUCGGGCUUAGUGAUCCGGCGGUGCCGUAUGGAAGGGCCGUCGCUCAACGGAUAAAAGCUACCCCGGGGAUAACAGGCUUAUCUCCCCCAAGAGUCCACAUCGACGGGGAGGUUUGGCACCUCGAUGUCGGCUCAUCGCAUCCUGGGGCUGUAGUCGGUCCCAAGGGUUGGGCUGUUCGCCCAUUAAAGCGGUACGCGAGCUGGGUUCAGAACGUCGUGAGACAGUUCGGUCCCUAUCCGUCGUGGGCGUUGGAAGUUUGAGAGGAGCUGUCCUUAGUACGAGAGGACCGGGAUGGACACACCGCUGGUGUACCAGUUGUUCCGCCAGGAGCAUAGCUGGGUAGCUACGUGUGGAAGGGAUAAGUGCUGAAAGCAUCUAAGCAUGAAGCCCCCCUCUAGAUGAGACUUCCCAUCAUUUUAAAUGAGUAAGAUCCCUCAGAGACGAUGAGGUUGAUAGGUCCGAGGUGGAAGCGUGGUGACACGUGCAGCUGACGGAUACUAAUCGAUCGAGGACUUAACUAU